UACGUAGGGGGCAAGCGUUGUCCGGAAUUACUGGGCGUAAAGCGCACGUAGGCGGAUUUGCCAGUCAGGGGUGAAAUCCCGGGGCUCAACCUCGGAACUGCCCCUGAUACAGCAAGUCUUGAGUCCGGAAGAGGUGGGUGGAAUUCCUAGUGUAGAGGUGAAAUUCGUAGAUAUCGGGAGGAACACCAGUGGCGAAGGCGGCGAUCUGGGAAGAUACUGACGCUGAGGUGCGAAAGCGUGGGGAGCAAACAGG
Molecule: ribosomal RNA, 253 nt
Filed under: uncultured bacterium
Lineage: Bacteria
Description: partial 16S ribosomal RNA
Rfam family: Bacterial small subunit ribosomal RNA
Source: RNAcentral